This is a long non-coding RNA of Lagopus muta (rock ptarmigan), 2094 nucleotides long. RefSeq lists it as uncharacterized. The record is from RefSeq and is a predicted model, not a curated record. The transcript has 11 exons. Lineage: Eukaryota; Metazoa; Chordata; Aves; Galliformes; Phasianidae.
CUCUGAGCACCUUCAGCACCUCUGGUUGCUCACCAAAUCUCUAUCAUUUAAGGUUGUUUUUAAUCAGAAAUAUGUUUCAUCCCAUCAGUAGAUGCAGGCAAGACAAUGCUCAGAGCCAUCAGUAAGAUGCAAGUGAGCUGACAGUCGGACUCUUGUACAAGAUUUCCAUGCCUUACAAGAAAUGUCUGCCGAAUGCCUGACACUGAAAUGAUAUAAGACCUGCAUUAGAUCAACUUCACCUGAGUGUAACAUGCUGUCCUGGGAGGGUGAGUGCUCAAUGAGAGGGAAGAUGGACUCGAGCUCAGAAUGCUGAACUAAUGCAUAUCAAACUUUCCUUCACAUAAACUCAUUGAAAUGGUAUUCGUGCUUGAAGAGACUGAAUAUGCAAAUAUCAUUGGAAAAAGAGAGAGAGAAGAAACACUGAAGACAACUGUGAGAUACUAAGAGCAAGUUAAAGAGACAAAAGAGUGCAAACGACAAGCAGAAUUUGAAAUGUUAAAGGUGGAGGCAGUAAUCAGGAGUCAGAACGCUGCAUCUGCAGCAGUGCCCUCCAUGCUGGCCAAGGAAAGCUCUUGCAUCUCUUGAGGGAGCAACACCAGCUCCCAUCCAUGUCCUCACUGAAUUUGUCUUUGCAGAUGGAAAGCAAAAUUAACUUCUGCAUCCAGGAGAGAAAGUUAACAGGAUUCUGAAGGUCUUUGUGUGUAGUGCUAACAGUUAAAAAGAAGGAAAUGCAACCACAUUGCUCCUAGUCUGCUCAAGAGCCAGUUGCUGCUUCCUAAGGAGAUGGCUUUCCCAGCUCACUUUCAAUGCAUGUGAAGGGGAUGGAGGAAGUGAAGAGAAUGGCACAUAACUGCUCUUGUCUCUACUUCAGAAAUCUUCAGAAGUUUUCUGUGCUUUUUCAAGACUUUCUGAACAGCCAGUGAUUCCGAUACUGCACUUGGAAUUCACUUGUGAAAUUUUAAAGUGCUAGUUUUGAGCUAGUAACUGGUAGAAGUAAUACUUUGAGAAGUAAUUGAGCCACUGCUUUUUCAGGCUGUCCAGGGAGGUGGUGGAGUCACCGUCCCUGAGAUGUUCAAGAACCUUGGAGAUGUGGCACUGAGGGACAUGGUCAGUAGGAAUGUUGGAGAUGGGUUGAUGGUUGAACUUGGUGAUCUCAGAAGUCUUUUCCAACCUUGGUGAUUCUACAACUCUAAAAACGAGAGUCUGAAGUAUAUUGAAAACGUUAAGUCUUCUCAAGCACCCCUGAAGCUCCAUGUUUGUCAUAAAUGACGUAAUGAAUGAUGUAUGAGCUGCCCAUAGAAAACUGUGAUAUGUCGUAUUCAGCUCUGUCUUUUUUUGUACUGCGAGAGAAACCUCUGAGCGUGAUCGCUGGCCAGGAAAGUCAAAAGAAAAAUUCCUGUUGUGUAUUGGGACUAGAAGACAAUUUACUCUUCCAGUAAGGUCAGGUUCUCUCCUGUACCACCAGACGAAGUUGGUAUCAAAGAGGUUGCACAAGCCUUAAGCAGAAUAAAUAUUUCACUUAUAUAUAAGAGUGAAAAUAAAAUCUGUUGUCUCUUUCUGUAGGAAGUACUUUAUAUAUUAAAAUCUGUCAGCCUUUAUUAAGUCUGUUGGAUUUGACCCUUAAGCUAAAUCUUGAUGUCUUGCAUAAGGCAGCGAUAUACACAGAAGAUAGGUCAACAGGCCAAGUAAGAAUGUAGCCUGUGCAGCAAAUCAGCGGUGGGCAUUAGUUCUUCAAGGCACUGGAGGAUGCCAGGUAUUUUAUUUGCCUAACUUCUUCUCUUGCAGUAGAGGGAUAUGUGGUAAUUUGCCAUUUCUCCAACUACUGUUGUCCUGUCUAUAUGGUGUUGAUUCAAAUCCUUUAAUGCUCAGUAUCCUGGACUGCUAAAAAUAAAUAUAUUUUAAUAUCAUAGAAAAUAAGAUUAAACCUUUAGAUGAAAACUACUCUUCAACCUUUUUUUUCCUCCUAAACAACAUGCACUUUCAAACAGUAAAUUUGUUUGAAUAGAAAUUUCUCAACUUCUUACAUUCUUCUCAGAUUCUUUCACAGUAUCUGCUUGAAAAAUAUUUUUCCUUUAAUCUGCCUUGAAAUAAUAU